Molecule: long non-coding RNA, 964 nt
Organism: Orbicella faveolata
Lineage: Eukaryota; Metazoa; Cnidaria; Anthozoa; Scleractinia; Merulinidae
Source: RefSeq, a predicted model, not a curated record
UGUUGUUGUUGUUGUUGUUGGAAAAUGCACUCAAGUGUUUUGACUGUGUACCCUUGUAGAUAGUGCUAGCGCGACAGAUAUCGAUCAAAGCACAUGCCAGGAGACUCUGGAAAACCUUGUUCAAGCUUUCCAAAAAGUCGUUGACCUCCAGUCCAGGAUUCUGAAUGACGAACCCUCGGACGAAAGCCAUGAGGUGUUGUCGUACAUUUCAAGCACAUUUUCAGCCAUAGAGGAUCAAAUACACGAGUCGCGCCUUCGACGGCGGCAGUGGGAACUUUCUUCUCUUCCCAGGGGUAAGCCCGGCUCAGGUUCCAGGCCUCUGGGCGGCGCGUUAAGUUUCUCCACUGGCAACUUGGACCAACUGUUACCUAAAGGGAAUUCUUUGAGAAGAAAUUCGGCGUUUUCUAUAUCGUCCAUACCCGAGGAUGUAGAAAUACAUGAAGUUUUACUGGAAAAAUACUCGAACAGAUUGUUAGAGAUGGUCGCGCAAAAACUUAGUAAAUGAGUAGUCUCUACAGCAGCCUGAAAUUCGUUUCUCUGUAAAAAAACAAACAAACAAACAAACAAACAGCACAACGUAACAGUUGUCGUUUUGUCCUUCAAAAUGGUUGUGAAAGUAGCUUCACUGGUUCAUUUCGAGCUUAGUGUGAAUUUGACUGUAGGUUACUUGUCUGUAAAUGUAAUAUGCAGUCUUUUUUUGCUGACCAGGAGGGGCGUGGAGUUUCAAAUCACUCGUUCUAUAAAACAAAUGUGAAAAAGUACGUCUUUCAAAGGUGGACGAGUUUUCGUGUCAAAUUGUGUUAUUUUUGAAUUGAUAUUUUCUACGUUGAUCUAUGAAUGUAAGAAAUCGUUAUGAGAGUAGAUACUGAGUAACGGACUGAUUAAAUAUGAUACUUUAUAUUUAAAAGGGAAAAACUAUCAAAAGUAGUUGUAAAUAAACCCUAUGAGGUGAAGUUUGACUUUA